UACGUAGGGUGCAAGCGUUGUCCGGAAUUAUUGGGCGUAAAGAGCUCGUAGGCGGUCUGUCGCGUCGGCUGUGAAAUCCCGGAGCUCAACUCCGGGUCUGCAGUCGAUACGGGCAAACUGGAGUACUGCAGGGGAGACUGGAAUUCCUGGUGUAGCGGUGAAAUGCGCAGAUAUCAGGAGGAACACCGGUGGCGAAGGCGGGUCUCUGGGCAGUAACUGAUGCUGAGGAGCGAAAGCGUGGGGAGCGAACAGG
This 253-nucleotide ribosomal RNA is filed under the name uncultured bacterium. RNAcentral's name for it is "partial 16S ribosomal RNA". It matches the Rfam family "Bacterial small subunit ribosomal RNA", at positions 524 to 776 of the family's 1533-position model. The record is from RNAcentral.